This 253-nucleotide ribosomal RNA is filed under the name uncultured bacterium. RNAcentral describes it as "partial 16S ribosomal RNA". It matches the Rfam family "Bacterial small subunit ribosomal RNA", at positions 524 to 776 of the family's 1533-position model. The record is from RNAcentral.
UACAGAGGGUGCAAGCGUUGCUCGGAAUCACUGGGCGUAAAGCGCACGUAGGCGGAUCCUUAAGUCGGGGGUGAAAUCCUGGAGCUCAACUCCAGAACUGCCUUCGAUACUGAGGAUCUCGAGUCCGGGAGAGGUGAGUGGAACUGCGAGUGUAGAGGUGAAAUUCGUAGAUAUUCGCAAGAACACCAGUGGCGAAGGCGGCUCACUGGCCCGGUACUGACGCUGAGGAGCGAAAGCUAGGGGAGCAAACAGG